This 727-nucleotide unclassified non-coding RNA is filed under the name Hevea brasiliensis (rubber tree). The record is from RNAcentral. Lineage: Eukaryota; Viridiplantae; Streptophyta; Magnoliopsida; Malpighiales; Euphorbiaceae.
AAUGGACAGAAAUCAGAAUUAUUGCAACCCGGCAUUGUAAUGGGAUGUUCAUUAUGUAGUACUUGGAUGAAGUACUUGCUUGAUGGAUUUGCUGGACAACUAUGCAAGACAAGCAUGUUGUUGCCAGCAAAAGGCGCUAUAGUGCUGCCCCACCAAUUUCUACCGUGGGGAGGCCUUGGAGGAAGUUCCAAAGGUUGUUCCCUUUGUAUUUUCUGGAAUUCUGAUUGUUCAAGGAAAAGACCAAGCAGACAUGUAAAAGGAACUACAGUCUCUGCAUGUGCAAACCUUAGUCUUGCCUUUUCAUAACUUCCAGGAGCAAGUUGUUCUUCCUGUGCCUUAAUAGCUUCCUCCAUGGAAUGAACAACAUCUUCAAGCAGUGGCACUCCCAUUUGAUAGUUUAUUGAUUUACCAUAACCCUUCAAUAUAAACACCUCUAAGUCAUCUGUCCACUCCAGCAAAGCCACCUCAGAAGGACUGAAGAGACCACAAGCUUGAUCUGUUAUAUCCAACAAGGAUGCUUCCUGUUUACAGAGAAACCAGAGAGAAGCAGUGUCCUGUCUUGUAAAAUUAAGCUCGUAACGGCUCACUAUUGCAGCUGUAAUUUCAUCUAAAAUAGGUUCCUUAAGCUUAUCGACACCUGGCUCUUGGCUUUUCCUAAAAUCCUUGUAGCUUUCACAACAAUCAUAAAACCUAAGCACUAUAUCACUUGCACGGCUUUCACUGCUGA